AGUGGAUCGCUUCUGAGCGCGUGCAGCGUGCAGCCAAUAGGAUUCUGCGCACGUGAGGGGAGUUUAGUGAGCUCGCGGCAAAGAGCUCUGCAGCUCUGUGUGCGCGCGCCUUUCUGAAACCGGGACAUCAACUAAAUGUCGUGGACAUGGAUGGCUCUAGUAAAAACAGAAGGUCCAUUGGCUUAUACACUUUCCCCUGGAUAUUAACCUGUCUCUGUGGAUGAGGCAGAAGCGCCAGUUGGACUAAAAUGUGCUGACAGUAUAUGGAGUUGCUGAGCUCCUCGAUUCUAUUAAGGAGGUUUCUUUUCUGGCAUCCAGUGAAAUCUCCAGUGAAGCACUUCCUCUGUUCCUCAGCUCUGCACCUGCUGGCCAUCCAGUGACACGUCAUCAUUUCUUUCUUAAGUAAAAUGAGUAAAGCUCCUCUGCUGGACUAUGGGCUUCAGUCUCUGGCUCCAGCUCCUGGUUAUGGGGUUACAGCUGGGCUGUCCCUGGCUACAGACACAGAGCAGAGCACAGCCUUAUGCUUUGUAGGCCUUCUGCUACUCUUCCUCAUCUUCCUGUUGGUGCGGUGUUUCCGGAUCCUUCUGGACCCAUACGGUAGCAUGCCGGCAUCCUCCUGGAAUGACCACAAAGAUGGACUGAGAACAGUUUGAUUUUACUCAAGUGUAGGAAAAAGGGAAACCCCUUUUUAUGCUUGCAGCAAAUGUAAAUGGAGAUCGAAUGCUCAGUGGCCCGGAUAUUGAUUCAAGCUGGACAGACGCUUGAGUUAGAUAUGAUUAAGUGGAAGGUGGGAAUUCUCUGAACAGGCUGUCUUGGGAACGGUCAGCACUUGUCUGUCUGUUUUUGUAUAUGCAAAUGAUACUCAAACAAUCACUACUCAAAUGGUAUACAAAUUCAUAGAUAAGUAUCACAACAACCUGCAAGACAAUUCUGUCAGAAUGUGUUCAUCCAAAAAUAACUUGUGUACAUAGGACAGCUUUAACUUUUCACUAUUGUCUACAUUUUUUUAUUAAACAGGAAUUUAAAUAUUUGUUAUAUACCAAGUUACAGUAUUAUAUAAUAGACUUGCAUGCGUGAAUGCAGCUUCAGUUGUACUGUCAAGAGUUUUGUUCUGCUUUUUUUUAAAAUUAUUAUUAUUAUUCAAUGAUCUCUAGAUUUGCUGAUGCUGAAAUUCAAAUCACUGAUAAGCUGAGAAAUUGUGCCUUUAUAUCUGUCAGGAAAGCUUUAUUUUUGUAAGAACAUUUACUGCAGGGUUUUCUGUCCCUUUCCUAAUGUUCUCCUGAACAAACUCAUUUCCGCACCUAACAUAUUGCCAGCUCCUCAAACUUGUACUAUUUUGGUCUACUGUUAUCAGUAUCUUCAGGAUUGAUGGUUGAGCGAAGCUGUUUAGUCAUUAAGAUCCUUCUUGCGUCAACUGCUAAUUAUUAUAGAUGCUAUAAUCACAUCGAUAUUUCAGCGUUAAAAUCUGUUGGAUUACUCUGGCUGUUUUUUGUUUUUUUUGAAGUUCACUCUCAGGCUAAUUGAGGAAGGAAUACACUGCUCACUCAAACCAUCCUCUCUGUGUGUAAUUUAAUCAAUGUUUAUUACACUGACAGUAUUUGCACUGAGGCUCUGCAGAUAGGAUCAAGCAUAGCGUUAUCAGCCUGUCCUUAUAUUUCACUCUCUUAGUCUUAUUCACUUCAGACAUUUUUUUUUUUGGUUGCAUUUACAUAUCAGUUUUUGCAAAGAAAAUCAUAUUCAAUUUUGCAUUCAUUUGCAUCCCUUUCAUUUGCAUUUCUAUCUAUAUGCACCGAAUUUUAUUAUAUAAUGUCCUCUUUGCAUAACACUCAAACUAGCAUGUGCCUCUGUCGCUAAAUCCAACCAAAUCUUUCUAGCUGUAAGCCACAAAUUCACAAACCUUUUGCUUAAUUCCCGUCACACUGACAGAUCUAAUCCUAAUAAAGCAGGAAAGCUCACAUUUAACAAGCUGACUCAGGUAUUUUAGCAAAGGGCUGCAGUUAAAACUCCUGCACAAACUCUGGUUUUCUGACUGCAUCCAUUUUCUGUUCGCUGAUUUGCACGACGUAAUACACUUAGCAUUAAAUAUUCUGUUUAUUACUCUCUUUUUAAAGCAAUUAGGUUUUUGGUUUGUUGUGUGUGGCAGCAUGUUUGAAUACUGGGUUGUUGUCUAAGCACUAGAUAAAUGAGUGAGUGUAGAGAAAAGUCAUUAAAAUAGAGAGUUAUUGAUCAUGCGAUUGAUUCCAGCUGGUGUUAAAAUCUCUGUGUACUGUUGAUGAGCAGUGCAAAUUGGAGACACUCCAGAGACACUCGUGUUACAUAAACAUCCAUCAGGCCCAUCACAGUUUGUUUGUUUAUGUGUGUGUUUGUGAAUGUGUGUGUGUGUGUGUGUAGUGCUUGUUAGGGACUUGUUAACAUCACUCAGGUGAGUGCUACACAGUGUUUGUGAGUCAUCAUUAUGCGUACAAAUAAUUAAAGCUGUGUUUGAUAUCCACAUCAGCAUAAUGCUCAAAAGAUGUCAAUUUGUCUUAUAAAUCUGACUAAAAUGCCACUUCUGUCACUCUCUGCUGCUAGACUCUCUAGCAUCUUCGAUGUCACUGGGGCGUAAAAGCAUCUACCAAAAUAAUGAAUGGAUUUUUUUUAAUGAGUAUGUGUGAAUUGGAUCUAAGCUGGUUUAUAGAAAACUUAAUGAGAAUAUCUAAAGGUUUAUAUGUAUCAGGGGAACUUGCCUGUCAAACAUGGGACUAGAAUAUUAUGGGAUAUUUAUUUUUCAUUAAUCCGGCUUUUACCUAUUUGCACUUUUGAUAUUUUAUCCACUAAUUACCAUUCUUCACGACAAAAUAGACUGCCAGUUAAUUUAGCAUUGAUUGUUAGAUAAAAGCAAAGUUAGCAUCCGAAAUGAAAUGCUAAAUGAAGUAAAAAGUUAAUAUAUAAUUAUUUUAGGUUAAAAAUUUCUCUGCUGCCGGUCAGUGUCCUUAAACUCUUCCUAACUCGUUAAUUCGGAUCCUGCUACUUCCUGACAGAUGCACUUAUGAAACAGUGAACAAUGACCCCUGUUGUCAAACGAAACAAAGAAGAGAUGAAUCAUCACGUUCUCAUAAUUUCCCAGUGGAGAUUCGGUGAAGGCCAAUGAGCAGAACGUACAGGAGGGCUUUCUCUCCUGGGACAGACUUCAGGGUUCCGUCUUAGCUGACAGGAAGGAUAAAAGUGCACUUGCACGCAAGACACACUAGAUAUAAGCUCUCGGUUUUACUGUAGCCUGCAAAAUUUUAAACAUGCUUACAGACACACUUCAAUCUUAAUAAUGGCAUUGACCCUCAAGUGAACUUGAUACGUCCAAUCAUUAUUUUCUCAAUUCACAUUUUUCUUACACAAUAUAUUAAUAAAUUAUUCAUAUAUUAUAGCAAUUAUGUAGCCAAUACAUACAUUUUAUUAGGUGGCAAAUUAUUCAGUUCCACCUCUUAGUGUUGUCUAGACACUAAGGACUCUGACAAAGUGUAGAGUAUCUUAAAAGGGUCUUUAAUGACUUCCCGUUGAACAUCAGGACUUCACAAAUGAAAUGAACUUGCUCGAUCAUUACUGCUUGUUCCUGAAGUGACUUUGUUUUGCAGCCCUUUAGCUAUUUAAAAGAAAUCCACAGGCUCUCUCAGCCCAGAUGUAUUUUAUGAACUAUUCAAAUAUCAGACUCAUUAAUCACAUGUAUACAAUAAUACUGCGGCUAUUUAUUGGCUUUUUGUUCCAGAGUUUUCCACCAACAGAACAGGUCGAAGAUGAUAUAAUAUAUAGGCCUACUUACAGGCUAAUAAUCAUAAGAACUCAAUAAUAAAUACUGCUUAGAUAAUGGUGGGUUGUUGUUUUCAGCACUGUAUGAAAAUUUGAGGAAACAAAAUCCCAGACUCCCUGGCUUUCCUGUCACACUAUGAGACACCACAAGUCCCUUUGGGAAUUCAGGGCAGACCGCCUACUGGCUGAGAGCCACUUGGCUAUUUUGUGUGGGAAAUCUGUGAAUAUAAUAGUGGACAGUUUAACUGACAAUAUAAAGGCCACUUAAGGGAACCAGUCCAUGUAAACAUUCAUGUUUACAAUAUAUAUUCUAGCACUAAUGAAAAAAAACCCCUUAUAUUUAUCAGUAAUAUUAAUUGUGAAUAAGACGUGCACUUGCUGCUUCUGGUCACUGACAAACAUGCAAAACUAGAACACACACAGCUACUGUAAGUGCACUAGGCUAAUCUAACAUCAGGAAUGCACAGGCUGUUGGGUAAUAGUUGAGGAAUGACAUGACUGCCUUAGAUGCCUGUCAUAGUCUUAUCGCAGCAUUUUUACGUAUCAUCCUUAUCUCAGAGUCAUCUAUCUGCAAAGGACUUAGAGUCAUGUUCACAAACAUGCACAUAAUGUUAGAAGCGGGUCCACUCUUGAUGACCUGUUGCAUACAUUUGAGUGAGAGAUUUAGGCAAGAGAUCAGGUAGCUCAACUAAGAAAAAUUACCUUAAAGCAAAUGUCAGUGAAGUAUACAGUUGGACAAGGAAACAGAACAAGGAAAUCUGAAAGAACUAGACAAAAAACACUGAUAUUAAUAUUUAUUCGCAUAAAAGUGGGUGUAUUUUUUUUUUUUGCAAGAUUGUUACAACAUUCCAAAAUAUUAGGUCAAAUGGAAAUAGUGUGAAAGAAUCAAAAGUAAAAGUUUAAUCUUCACUCUCUUGAACGCCAGACCUAAUUCUCAGGGGAUGGCAUCCUGCUGAGCUUUAACAGAGCCGUCAGAAUAAAGAAAUCUUACUUUUGGGUAAACAAACCUGUACACAUAUGGGUGUAUACGUUAUUAUAAAAAAAAGUGCAGUGAAUUAAACUGUUAUUAUUGUGACUGUGUCAAUAAAAAAUCAUAUAAUACACUAUUUGGACAUAUUGAUUACAUAAAAAUGUUGUAACGUCUGUGAAACAUAGCCAUAUCACACUGUUUUGUUGGAAUAAAUUAAAUCAACUUAAAAGCAGAUCACAUUCAACUGCAAAACAUCCACCUAAUUGAUUAACUAUUUCUCCAUUUGAUCCAGGCUACCGUUUUAAAGUCUAUAGGUGAAAUGUGGUUAAACCUCUGAAUGUGGUUUCUGCACACAGUUUGUGUCUGGAUGGAAAUCCCUUGGUCACUGUUGCCA
Molecule: long non-coding RNA, 5144 nt
Organism: Hemibagrus wyckioides
Lineage: Eukaryota; Metazoa; Chordata; Actinopteri; Siluriformes; Bagridae
Exons: 3
Source: RefSeq, a predicted model, not a curated record